AACGAACGCUGGCGGCAUGCCUAACACAUGCAAGUCGAACGAGACCUUCGGGUCUAGUGGCGCACGGGUGCGUAACGCGUGGGAACCUGCCCUUAGGUUCGGAAUAACUCCCCGAAAGGGGUGCUAAUACCGGAUAAUGUCUUCGGACCAAAGAUUUAUCGCCUUUGGAUGGGCCCGCGUUGGAUUAGCUAGUUGGUAGGGUAAAAGCCUACCAAGGCGACGAUCCAUAGCUGGUCUGAGAGGAUGAUCAGCCACACUGGGACUGAGACACGGCCCAGAAUCCUACGGGAGGCAGCAGUGGGGAAUAUUGGACAAUGGGCGAAAGCCUGAUCCAGCUAUGCCGCGUGAGUGAUGAAGGCCUUAGGGUUGUAAAGCUCUUUUACCCGGGAUGAUAAUGACAGUACCGGGAGAAUAAGCUCCGGCUAACUCCGUG
Molecule: ribosomal RNA, 433 nt
Filed under: uncultured bacterium
Lineage: Bacteria
Description: partial 16S ribosomal RNA
Rfam family: Bacterial small subunit ribosomal RNA
Source: RNAcentral